AUUGAACGCUGGCGGAAUGCUUUACACAUGCAAGUCGAACGGCAGCACGGGGGCAGCCCUGGUGGCGAGUGGCGCACGGGUGAGUAAUACAUCGGAACGUGCCCGGUCGUGGGGGAUAACGUAGCGAAAGUUACGCUAAUACCGCAUACGAUCUGAGGAUGAAAGCGGGGGACCUUCGGGCCUCGCGCGAUCGGAGCGGCCGAUGUCAGAUUAGGUAGUUGGUGGGGUAAAGGCCUACCAAGCCGACGAUCUGUAGCUGGUCUGAGAGGACGACCAGCCACACUGGGACUGAGACACGGCCCAGACUCCUACGGGAGGCAGCAGUGGGGAAUGUUGGACAAUGGGCGCAAGCCUGAUCCAGCCAUUCCGCGUGCAGGACGAAGGCCUUCGGGUUGUAAACUGCUUUUGUACGGAACGAAAAGGCUCUGGCUAAUACCUGGGGCUCAUGACGGUACCGGAAGAAUAAGCACCGGCUAACUACGUG
Molecule: ribosomal RNA, 484 nt
Filed under: uncultured bacterium
Lineage: Bacteria
Description: partial 16S ribosomal RNA
Rfam family: Bacterial small subunit ribosomal RNA
Source: RNAcentral